This is a long non-coding RNA of Ictalurus punctatus (channel catfish), 297 nucleotides long. RefSeq lists it as uncharacterized. Lineage: Eukaryota; Metazoa; Chordata; Actinopteri; Siluriformes; Ictaluridae. The record is from RefSeq and is a predicted model, not a curated record. The transcript has 2 exons.
UGCCGCCAUGGCAGAGUCCAUGGCAACUGCUGAAAAGAUGCCAUGCGUGGGCAUUCAGAACCGACUUCCUGCCUCUGGGUCUUCCAUGGUAUAAAGCCUGCAUAUGUAAAUGAUGCAGAAUUGUUGGGGAAGAUGACAACUUGCCAAUGUCAAUCUUCUUGAAAGAGAACCCGGAAAGAAUAAACUCCUCCGCCAAGAAGACGUUCUCGUUCUUGGAAACUUUGCCAAGUUCAAGCACUCAAACUUACAACUCCUUCUAUUAAUGGUAAAUAAAUAACUCCUAACAAAAAAACUUCA